This 608-nucleotide ribosomal RNA is filed under the name Gloeocapsopsis crepidinum HA12. Its description in RNAcentral is "bacterial SSU rRNA". It matches the Rfam family "Bacterial small subunit ribosomal RNA", at positions 102 to 745 of the family's 1533-position model. Lineage: Bacteria; Bacillati; Cyanobacteriota; Cyanophyceae; Chroococcidiopsidales; Chroococcidiopsidaceae. The record is from RNAcentral.
ACGGGUGAGUAACGCGUGAGAAUCUGGCUUAAGGACGGGGACAACCACUGGAAACGGUGGCUAAGACCCGAUAUGCCGAGAGGUGAAAGUAUUUUUAGCCUUGAGGGGAGCUCGCGUCUGAUUAGCUAGUUGGUGGGGUAAGAGCCUACCAAGGCGACGAUCAGUAGCUGGUCUGAGAGGAUGAUCAGCCACACUGGGAAUGAGACACGGCCCAGACUCCUACGGGAGGCAGCAGUGGGGAAUUUUCCGCAAUGGGCGAAAGCCUGACGGAGCAAUACCGCGUGGGGGAGGAAGGCUCUUGGGUUGUAAACUCCUUUUCUCAGGGAAGAAAAAAAUGACGGUACCUGAGGAAUCAGCAUCGGCUAACUCCGUGCCAGCAGCCGCGGUAAUACGGAGGAUGCAAGCGUUAUCCGGAAUCAUUGGGCGUAAAGCGUCCGCAGGUGGCACUUCAAGUCUGCUGUCAAAGGUCGGGGCUUAACUCCGAACAGGCAGUGGAAACUGAAGCGCUCGAGUGCGGUAGGGGCAGAGGGAAUUCCUCUGUAGCGGUGAACCGUGUUAGAUCAGGAAGAACACCCUUGGCGAAAGCGCUCUGCUAGCCACAACUGACA